This 567-nucleotide ribosomal RNA is filed under the name bacterium RS8. RNAcentral describes it as "bacterial SSU rRNA". It matches the Rfam family "Bacterial small subunit ribosomal RNA", at positions 110 to 668 of the family's 1533-position model. The record is from RNAcentral.
GUAACACGUGGGUAACCUGCCUGUAAGACCGGGAUAACUUCGGGAAACCGAAGCUAAUACCGGAUACUUUCGAGCAUCGCAUGAUGCUUGAUGGAAAGACGGCUUCGGCUGUCACUUACAGAUGGACCCGCGUCGCAUUAGCUAGUUGGUGAGGUAACGGCUCACCAAGGCGACGAUGCGUAGCCGACCUGAGGGGUGAUCGGCCACACUGGGACUGAGACACGGCCCAGACUCCUACGGGAGGCAGCAGUAGGGAAUCUUCGGAAUGGGCGAAAGCCUGACCGAGCAACGCCGCGUGAGCGAUGAAGGCCUUCGGGUCGUAAAGCUCUGUUGUUAAGGAAGAACAAGUACGAGAGUAACUGCUCGUACCUUGACGGUACUUAACGAGAAAGCCACGGCUAACUACGUGCCAGCAGCCGCGGUAAUACGUAGGUGGCAAGCGUUAUCCGGAAUUAUGGGCGUAAAGCGCGCGCAGGCGUUUCUUAAGUCUGAUGUGAAAGCCCACGGCUCAACCGUGGAGGGUCAUUGGAAACUGGGAAACUUGAGUGCGAAGAGGAAAGCGGAAUU